GACGAACGCUGGCGGCGGGCUUAACACAUGCAAGUCGAACGAACGCCUUCGGGCGUUAGUGGCGCACGGGUGAGUAACACGUAGGCAGUCUACCCUCGGCUGGGGAAUAACCAGGGGAAACCCUGGCUAAUACCGCAUAACAUCUGGACGUCGCCUGGCGACCAGAUCAAAGCUUUAUGUGGCCGAGGAUGAGCCUGCGUCGGAUUAGCUAGUUGGUGGGGUAACGGCCUACCAAGGCGACGAUCCGUAGCGGGUCUGAGAGGGUGAUCCGCCACACUGGCACUGAGACACGGGCCAGACUCCUACGGGAGGCAGCAGUGAGGAAUAUUGCGCAAUGGACGAAAGUCUGACGCAGCCACGCCGCGUGCAGGAAGA
RNAcentral lists this ribosomal RNA (375 nucleotides) under uncultured bacterium. Its description in RNAcentral is "bacterial SSU rRNA". It matches the Rfam family "Bacterial small subunit ribosomal RNA", at positions 28 to 411 of the family's 1533-position model. The record is from RNAcentral.